RNAcentral lists this ribosomal RNA (492 nucleotides) under uncultured bacterium. RNAcentral describes it as "partial 16S ribosomal RNA". It matches the Rfam family "Bacterial small subunit ribosomal RNA", at positions 29 to 507 of the family's 1533-position model. The record is from RNAcentral.
AGUGAAUGCUGGCGGUAGGCCUAACACAUGCAAGUCGAACGGCAGCACAGUAAGAGCUUGCUCUUACGGGUGGCGAGUGGCGGACGGGUGAGGAAUACAUCGGAAUCUACUUUUUCGUGGGGGAUAACGUAGGGAAACUUACGCUAAUACCGCAUACGACCUACGGGUGAAAGCAGGGGAUCUUCGGACCUUGCGCGAUUGAAUGAGCCGAUGUCGGAUUAGCUAGUUGGCGGGGUAAAGGCCCACCAAGGCGACGAUCCGUAGCUGGUCUGGGAGGAUGAGCAGCCACACUGGAACUGAGACACGGUCCAGACUCCUACGGGAGGCAGCAGUGGGGAAUAUUGGACAAUGGGCGCAAGCCUGAUCCAGCCAUACCGCGUGGGUGAAGAAGGCCUUCGGUUUGUAAAGCCCUUUUGUUGGGAAAGAAAAGCAGCAGGUUAAGACCCCGCUGUUCUGACGGUACCCAAAGAAUAAGCACCGGCUAACUUCGUG